This is a long non-coding RNA of Sander lucioperca (pikeperch), 158 nucleotides long. RefSeq lists it as uncharacterized. NCBI's taxonomy places the organism in Eukaryota, Metazoa, Chordata, Actinopteri, Perciformes, Percidae. The transcript has 2 exons. The record is from RefSeq and is a predicted model, not a curated record.
AAUAAAAAAAUAUUUAAAAAAAUCAAAGGAUGUUUUUUUUUGAAAGAAGUAAGCUUUGUGCAAUGUGUAGGGGAGUUAGCUGAGUUCACCAAAAGUGGUUUGACAUGAAUAGGUCAAAAGGUCAAGCCGCAUAAUAGAUUUAUAGCAUUUUUUUACAU